AGAAUGAAUAAUGGAAACUGCAAUCAGCAAAUUUACCUGCAAUUAUACUAAUGUGGCUUAAUUCCCCGCAGGUUGUACCAUUUUUCCCCAGAAUUGGAUUGGAAAUGGCUUAUAUAUCACACUGAAACUGCAGCCUCCAUAUCCAGAAAAUCACCAGCAAUAUUCAGCAGCAAGAAAAUAACAACAAAGAAUCAAAGAUGCCAACUUAUUCCAUCAUUUUGGGUUUCCUCUUGAGUGAUCCCAGGAAAGACCAAAUUCUUGAGUUGAAAGAUGAACACAUGCCCAUAUAUUAGUAGUUUUCUUGCUAUUUUGACUUUUUUUUUUUCCUGCACCACAGCAGAUUAAUUUCUUUCUUUGCCUUCUUGAUAUCUCCCAUUCAUCUUUCAUGAGAAUUAUGGGAUCACAAAAAUAGAACUCACAAUCAUGGUUAACAACGAAAGAAUCCUCUUUACAAAGACUACAUAAACUCAACCCAAAUAUACUACUACCAAAAUCCUAAUAAUCUUUUUCACAGUUUUCUUCCUCAUAAAAUUUCAGGUCUUCUACUUUCUUCAAAACAUUCUUAAUAAUAAGAACAUCCUUUUUGCUUCCAGAAAUUUUGAUAAAUCUGUGGCCAAUAAAAAUACCUUCAGUGCUAAAGACUUCAACAUUCUGAGCAGCAUUGUUGAUAAUCCCAGACUCAAUCAAAGAUACCAAAUUGCUUGAAGGGUCACACAGAACCAUAUUGCUUGAAUUUACAUGAUCAGCUUUUGAAUUGUUCCUAAGCUCCAAAUCUUGCUCCAAUUCUUAAACUAUUAUUAGAUCAUUCUCAAAAUUCUGACGUUCUUUCAUACAUUUAUCUCCACCUCCAUGAACCUUAUCAUCAAGAGAGACAAUCUCCUUCCUAGCUUCAUUAUCCUCAGUCUUUCUCAAUUCCCCGCCAUUACUCCAAGAAAUCUCAGUUCGAUGAGUUUCAGUUUCUACAUCUUGUAUUGAUAAUCCCAAUUCACCAAUAUUACUCCACGAAUCUUUAUAUAUAUAUAUGGAUGCUGGUUUUUAAAGUUUGAAUCGACUCUAGCAUUUUACCCGUUUGUUCUAGAACCAAGCUGCUAGAGCUUUUCAUUUUCUGAAUCCCUUCCAGCAACUCGUCUUGAUUUUUCUUCAAACAUUCAAAUAUAUCCAGAAGAAUCACUUGUUGCGAAGGUUGUAUUUCCAUGAUCUAAUGGCAGAAGGGCUAUGGUAUGGGGUACGAUAGAGAUAAAAGGGAAAAUUUUAUUUCCAAGAAAAUUAGGUAAAAGAGUUGAAAAAGGAAAGGAUCAAAACCUCAGAAUCAGAUCUGAAAUAGACCUAAAACAAACCUGAAACAGAGUAAAGAUUCAAGAAAAAAGACCCUAAUUUCAGGGUUCUUGGGAAAGAAAAAAAACUAGAAAAGGAAGAAAGAAACAGAGAGAGAAAGAAAUCUAUAUUUCAAGGAAUAAAGAAAGAAAGAAAGAAAAAGAACAAGGGAAUUGCCAGAGUAAAACAGACUAUUACAUUUUCUCUCCACCAACAAUUAAAAAAUAAUUUCAAAUCCCAUUCAAAACAGGAGCAGCUCAUGCCAACCCACCGAACCAAACCCCCCUUUCUGAGUCUGAGAGCUUAUCAUUUUAACCCUUCUUCAGCAAUUCGUCCCACGCCACCACCCACUCUUUGCUACACCUCUCUCUUGAUCUCUGCGAAGGGAGAUGAACCCACACUGCCGAUCAUCGCAUAAAUCUGAUCGAACUCCCAAACCCUAAUCCAAAACCACAACAAAUUCUAUUCUCUGCUUCUCUUAUCCUUCUUGUGUUACGCGAUCGCUUCCUUUCUUUCCUCGUGCUACUCGCUCAGCGCACUAUAUGCUUCCUAGCAAGAGAGCUGGUGGAGGAGAGGUUGUAAUAGAAGAAGACGGACCAAUCUGCAGCGCCACUGAAUCUCUAACUAAGAAACCCCGCUUAGAUUCCGUCGCCUCGUCCGCGGCCACUGCUGCAUCAUCCGCAAACACGGGGAACGCUAAAAGUACCGGCAACCCCACCGCCACCAUAAUCACCAACAAUCACGGUAGCGGAAACGUUGAAUCUCCGAUCAUGACUCUCGGGAACGGGAAAUCGCAAGACAUUGAUGAGGAUCUUCACAGCCGUCAGCUUGCAGUGUACGGCCGUGAGACCAUGCGGCGGCUCUUUGCAUCCAACAUCCUUGUAUCGGGGAUGCAAGGCCUUGGCGCCGAAAUUGCGAAGAACCUAAUUCUUGCUGGGGUCAAGUCAGUGACCUUGCACGAUGAGGGAGUUGUAGAGUUGUGGGACUUGUCCAGCAAUUUUGUUUUUACGGAGGAUGAUGUGGGGAAGAAUCGAGCCCUUGCUUCUGUCCAAAAGUUGCAAGAAUUGAAUAACUCUGUAGUGAUUUCCACUUUAACUACUGAAUUGACCAAGGAACAACUAUCUGAAUUUCAGGCUGUCGUAUUUACUGACAUUAGCUUAGAGAAAGCAAUUGAAUUUGAUGAUUACUGCCACAAUCAUCAACCUCCUAUUGCUUUUAUUAAAUCUGAAGUACGGGGCCUUUUUGGUAGUGUGUUUUGCGACUUUGGACCUGAGUUUACAGUGCUUGAUGUUGAUGGUGAGGACCCACAUACAGGCAUAAUCGCCUCUAUCAGCAAUGAUAAAUCUGCUCUUGUGGCUUGUGUGGAUGAUGAGAGGCUUGAGUUUGAGGAUGGGGAUCUUGUUGUAUUCUCUGAAGUUCAUGGAAUGACAGAGCUAAAUGAUGGAAAGCCAAGGAAGAUUAAAAAUGCUAGGCCAUAUUCCUUUACUCUUGACGAGGAUACCUUAAAAUUUGGUACCUAUGAGAAAGGUGGCAUUGUAACACAGGUAAAACAACCCAAGAUGUUGAACUUUAAGCCACUGAAGGAAGCACUUAAAGAUCCUGGUGAUUUUCUUUUGAGCGAUUAUUCCAAGUUUGAUCGCCCAACUCUCCUACAUCUAGCAUUUCAGGCACUGGAUAAGUUUUUGUCAGAAUUAGGUCGGUUCCCUGUUGCUGGUUCAGAAGAGGAUGCUCAGAAGCUUAUAACUUUGACUGCUAACAUCAAUGAACGCUUGAAAGAUGGAAGAGUGGAGGACAUUGAUCCAAAACUUCUUAGACAUUUUGCCUUUGGUGCCAGGGCUGUGCUGAAUCCCAUGGCUGCUAUGUUUGGUGGCAUUGUGGGACAAGAGGUUGUCAAAGCAUGUUCUGGAAAAUUUCAUCCUCUCUUUCAGUUUUUCUAUUUUGACUCGUUGGAGUCACUUCCUACGGAGAAUUUGGAUCCCAGUGCUUUUCAACCAUUAAAUAGCCGUUUUGAUGCACAAAUUUCAGUUUUUGGAUCUAAGCUCCAGAAGAAAUUAGAGGAUGCCAAUGUGUUCAUUGUAGGAUCUGGUGCAUUAGGCUGUGAAUUCUUGAAAAAUGUAGCAUUAAUGGGUGUUUCAUGUGGGAAAGAAGGAAGGUUGACAAUAACUGAUGAUGAUGUGAUAGAGAAAAGUAACUUAAGUAGGCAGUUUCUCUUCCGUGAUUGGAACAUUGGGCAGGCCAAAUCCACAGUUGCUGCUGCUGCUGCUGCAUCAAUAAAUCCUAGUCUCAACAUUGAAGCAUUGCAAAAUCGUGUGGGCCCUGAAACUGAGAAUGUAUUUGAUGAUACAUUUUGGGAGAAUUUAACUGUUGUCAUAAAUGCUUUAGACAAUGUAAAUGCAAGAUUAUAUGUUGAUCAAAGAUGCUUGUACUUCCAGAAGCCACUCCUUGAGUCUGGAACCCUGGGUGCCAAAUGCAACACCCAGAUGGUCAUUCCUCACCUGACUGAAAACUAUGGUGCCUCUAGAGAUCCACCUGAGAAGCAAGCACCCAUGUGCACAGUCCAUUCAUUCCCCCACAAUAUUGACCACUGCUUGACAUGGGCUCGGUCAGAGUUUGAAGGUUUGCUUGAGAAAACUCCAGCAGAAGUGAAUGCCUAUCUAUCCAACCCGGUUGAAUAUGCUACUGCUAUGGCUAAUGCCGGUGAUGCUCUGGCCAGGGAUACCUUGGAACGUGUUCUUGAGUGUCUUGACAAGGAAAAGUGUGAGACAUUCCAAGAUUGCAUUACAUGGGCUCGAUUAAAGUUUGAAGAUUAUUUUGCUAAUCGUGUGAAGCAGUUGAUUUAUACAUUUCCCGAAGAUGCUGCAACUAGUACUGGGACACCAUUCUGGUCUGCUCCAAAGCGGUUUCCUCAUCCACUUGAGUUCUCAGCUUCUGAUCCUGGUCACCUCCAUUUUGUCAUGUCAGCAUCCAUACUUCGAGCAGUGUCUUUUGGCAUUCCAGUUCCUGACUGGGUCAAGAAUCCUAAGAUGUUGGCUGAGGCUGUUGAGAAGGUCAUAGUACCAGAAUUUCAACCAAAGAAAGAUGUGAAAAUUGUGACGGAUGAAAAGGCUACUAGUCUUGCUACUGCAUCUGCAGAUGAUAUUGUUAUUAUCAAUGAACUAAUCAAGAGAUUAGAGCAGUGCAGGAAGAAUUUGCCACCAGGAUACAGGAUGAAGCCAAUUCAGUUUGAGAAGGUUCUCUCUUGACAUCUUCCUUUUAAACAUGUUUAAUUUGCAUUUCUUUGACUGUAUAUUGAAGUGUUGAUUGAUCUGUCUUCUGACUUGAUAUGCUCUUAGCUUGUGAUCAUGGAAUUAGACCGGGCCACUGGGCCAGUUCCAGUUCAAAUCGGCCCAGAACUGUGAACCUCCUAAGGUUCUGGUUCAAUCUGGUCCAAGUCCAACAGUUCAGAUUUUUUUUUUUUUAAAUGAAAAAAGGCAGUUCGGCCUGGAGCUGAUUGGUUCGGUUCUGGUUCAAGCCAUAAACAGGUUUGACCCAUUCUGGUUCUGAAUCGGGCCUUGGCUGGAUCUACAUUGAAUGUCUGUAUGAAUUGGUCAGAGCUGCAUUUGUUAUUGAAUUACUCGGUAAUGCCCCGAAAAUACUCUUUAUGUGGGCAAAGAUACCGGGCCUUGGCACUGUUUCACAAUUGUCUUUCAACCUUGUCUCAUAAUAAUUCAAUUGGCUGGUUUGGAACGGCAACUGAAAUACUAUGAAAUCUACAGGAUGAUGAUACAAACUUCCAUAUGGAUGUGAUAGCUGCGCUUGCCAACAUGAGAGCAAGAAACUACAGCAUUCCUGAGGUUGAUAAGCUGAAAGCCAAGUUUAUUGCAGGAAGGAUCAUUCCUGCUAUUGCAACCUCGACAGCAAUGGCAACUGGUCUCGUGUGCUUGGAGUUGUACAAGGUUCUUGAUGGGGGGCACAAACUAGAAGACUACCGUAAUACAUUUGCCAACCUAGCACUACCUUUGUUCUCCAUGGCAGAGCCAGUCCCGCCCAAGGUUAUCAAGCAUCGUGACAUGAAGUGGACCGUUUGGGACAGGUGGAUCAUUAAGGAUAAUCCUACUUUGAGGGAACUUCUUCAAUGGCUCAAGGAUAAGGGGCUGAAUGCUUAUAGCAUUUCAUGUGGCAGUUGCCUGCUCUACAAUAGCAUGUUCCCUAAGCAUAGAGAAAGAAUGGACAGGAAGGUGGUGGAUUUGGUUAGGGAAGUGGCAAAAUUAGAAUUGCCUCCAUUCCGUUCUCAUUUUGAUGUUGUUGUGGCAUGCGAAGACGAUGAGGACAAUGAUAUUGAUAUUCCUCCGGUAUCGAUUUACUACCGUUAAGUUGUAUUUCCAAUUUGCCUGAUCACUUGGGCCUGUGAUUUUAGGAUGACAAUAUUUUUGGUCUUUCAUCUCAAUGUUGUAUCUGGGAGUACCCAGAGAUUAAGAUCUGCCAGUAUCAAAUUUCACAUGUGAACACAGAUUAAGAUUUGCCAGUAUCAAAUUCAUAUGUGAAUCAUAUGGAGACUUAAUAGCAAAUAUCAUGUAUACCUGUUUUGUUAUUUUGAUGAUGAUCCACGGGUUGACUAUUUUCUUCCAAAUUCUGUU
RNAcentral lists this unclassified non-coding RNA (5930 nucleotides) under Hevea brasiliensis (rubber tree). Lineage: Eukaryota; Viridiplantae; Streptophyta; Magnoliopsida; Malpighiales; Euphorbiaceae. The record is from RNAcentral.